Molecule: ribosomal RNA, 253 nt
Filed under: uncultured bacterium
Lineage: Bacteria
Description: partial 16S ribosomal RNA
Rfam family: Bacterial small subunit ribosomal RNA
Source: RNAcentral
UACGUAGGGGGCGAGCGUUGUCCGGAAUUAUUGGGCGUAAAGAGCGUGUAGGCUGUUCGGUAAGUCUGCCGUGAAAACCUGAGGCUCAACCUCGGGCGUGCGGUGGAUACUGCCGGGCUAGAGGACGGUAGAGGCGAGUGGAAUUCCCGGUGUAGCGGUGAAAUGCGCAGAUAUCGGGAGGAACACCAGUAGCGAAGGCGGCUCGCUGGGCCAUACCUGACGCUGAGACGCGAAAGCGUGGGGAGCGAACAGG